GCCGAGGUGGCGGAAUUGGUAGACGCGCUGGCUUCAGGUGCCAGUGAUCAUUGCGGUCGUGCUGGUUCGACUCCAGUCCUCGGUACCA
RNAcentral lists this transfer RNA (88 nucleotides) under Zetaproteobacteria bacterium. Its description in RNAcentral is "tRNA-Leu". It matches the Rfam family "tRNA". From Rfam's summary of the family: Transfer RNA (tRNA) molecules are approximately 80 nucleotides in length. Their secondary structure includes four short double-helical elements and three loops (D, anti-codon, and T loops). RNAcentral also lists the same sequence under 2 other names. Lineage: Bacteria; Pseudomonadati; Pseudomonadota; Candidatius Mariprofundia. The record is from RNAcentral.